CCUACGGGUGGCAGCAGUGGGGAAUAUUGGACAAUGGGGGGAACCCUGAUCCAGCGACGCCGCGUGAGUGAAGAAGUAUUUCGGUAUGUAAAGCUCUAUCAGCAGGGAAGAAAAUGACGGUACCUGACUAAGAAGCCCCGGCUAACUACGUGCCAGCAGCCGCGGUAAUACGUAGGGGGCAAGCGUUAUCCGGAUUUACUGGGUGGAAAGGGAGCGUAGACGGGGCAGCAAGUCUGCUGUGAAAGGUCGGGGCCCAACCCCGGGACUGCAUUGGAAACUGUUGAACUGGAGUGCAGGAGAGGUAAGCGGAAUUCCUAGUGUAGCGGUGAAAUGCGUAGAUAUUAGGAGGAACACCAGUGGCGAAGGCGGCUUACUGGACUGUAACUGACGUUGAGGCUCGAAAGCGUGGGGAGCAAACAGGAUUAGAUACCCGAGUAGUC
Molecule: ribosomal RNA, 440 nt
Filed under: uncultured bacterium
Lineage: Bacteria
Description: partial 16S ribosomal RNA
Rfam family: Bacterial small subunit ribosomal RNA
Source: RNAcentral